UCAAGGCCUACUGUAAUAUUGUGCAAAAAAUUAUAAACGCAAUAUAUAAAUUGGAAUUUGGUUGAACUGAAAUAUUAACAGGUGUAUUCGGCGCAAAGCCAUGAAAAGAGAGUCAACUUUAAAAGAGAGUUGGUUUUGUUAAUUGAUAUCCAUCAAAUAUUAAUUAAAAUUUAUUCAAUUACUCAUCACAUAUCACAAACGAGUAUUUAAGAAAUCUCUCUGAAUUAUAAAAUGAAAAUACUAUACGAUUUUCAGGGAUCUCAAACAAGUGAAAACCCUAAUAUUUUUGAUAAUUAUCUAAAAAGGAGCUAAUAAGGAAGAGAACAACAUUGUAUGUAAGAAGUUCCUUUUUUAAAAGGAGGCAAGACCUAAACUAACUGGGGGCUGAAAGUGAAAGUUUUAUAAGAACUUGCAAUAGUAUUGAAGGUAACCUGAAAGAAGAAUUAUUGGAAACAACACAUCAAAACGUACUCCACACUAAUGGGGCAAACUUCAUGAUCAAUCAGAUAAUUACGACUAUUUCGUAUGUCUAAUGCAACUGUUUACCUCAAAAAAAA
This 557-nucleotide long non-coding RNA is filed under the name Phoenix dactylifera (date palm). Its description in RNAcentral is "long non-coding RNA (PDAC_LNC009692)". The record is from RNAcentral. Lineage: Eukaryota; Viridiplantae; Streptophyta; Magnoliopsida; Arecales; Arecaceae.